RNAcentral lists this transfer RNA (72 nucleotides) under Sus scrofa (pig). It matches the Rfam family "tRNA". Rfam says of the family: Transfer RNA (tRNA) molecules are approximately 80 nucleotides in length. Their secondary structure includes four short double-helical elements and three loops (D, anti-codon, and T loops). Further hydrogen bonds mediate the characteristic L-shaped molecular structure. tRNAs have two regions of fundamental functional importance: the anti-codon, which is responsible for specific mRNA codon recognition, and the 3' end, to which the tRNAs corresponding amino acid is attached (by aminoacyl-tRNA synthetases). tRNAs cope with the degeneracy of the genetic code in two manners: having more than one tRNA (with a specific anti-codon) for a particular amino acid; and 'wobble' base-pairing, i.e. permitting non-standard base-pairing at the 3rd anti-codon position. The record is from Rfam by way of RNAcentral. Lineage: Eukaryota; Metazoa; Chordata; Mammalia; Artiodactyla; Suidae.
CCCUUGGGGGUUUGGUGGUUAGGACUUGGUGCUUUCACUGCUGUGGCCCAGGUUCAAUUCCUGGUCUAGGAA